UACGUAGGUCCCGAGCGUUGUCCGGAUUUAUUGGGUUUAAAGGGUGCGCAGGCGGUCUGUUAAGUCAGCGGUCAAAGCCCGGGGCUCAACCCCGGCCCGCCGUUGAAACUGGCAGUCUCGAGUUGGAGAGAAGUAUGCGGAAUGCGCGGUGUAGCGGUGAAAUGCAUAGAUAUCACGCAGAACCCCGAUUGCGAAGGCAGCAUGCCGGCUUCCUACUGACGCUGAAGCACGAAAGCGUGGGGAUCGAACAGG
Molecule: ribosomal RNA, 252 nt
Filed under: uncultured bacterium
Lineage: Bacteria
Description: partial 16S ribosomal RNA
Rfam family: Bacterial small subunit ribosomal RNA
Source: RNAcentral